GAAGAGCAGCAGGCCUGGCCCAUUUAUUAAAAAGGAAACAAGUCACGCACAAACAUCAAUCCCUUCUCCUUCGCUGGCUCCUUGAAUUACGCCUCGCCCCAAGGGACCCCGACGGACCUACAACGGCAGGGACGCGAGAGCAACUGCAGCAUGGCCGUCCGAGCCGUGUUCAUGGUGAAGGGCAGGCGGUGGAGAUGUGAAGUCCAGGCACUGUUCAAGUCAGGUAAUUCUGCAGGUUGUGGCAUUGCAAGAAUUUUCAUUAUUGGGUAGAUGGAGCAUAUAAUUUCUUCUAAUUUACUCCAAAACCAAGAUUUAAGAAAUCAGGUUCUCUCCUUUUUUUUGUAACAAUGUUGCCAAAAUAGCAAUUAUAUGGUUGUGAGAAAAGAAAAAAGAACUAACAUCUAAAUCAAUUAAUUGAAUCUCAAAACGGUGCUACAUCCUUUACUAGAAGAUAUUUUUGCGUCUAUUAUAGGGGCCCAUUAGAUGAAGCUCGCACAAGGGCCUCUAAGAUCUCAGG
This is a long non-coding RNA of Triticum dicoccoides, 517 nucleotides long. RefSeq lists it as uncharacterized. The record is from RefSeq and is a predicted model, not a curated record. Lineage: Eukaryota; Viridiplantae; Streptophyta; Magnoliopsida; Poales; Poaceae. The transcript has 3 exons.